UCGCUGAAUGUGUUGCUAAGCGCAAAACUCGAGAACGGUUGGACCGAUUUCGCUAAUUUUUUUUUUUAAAUAUUCCUUGAAGUACGAGGAUGGUUCUUACCUAGAGAAAAAUUCUAAAAAAAAAAAAAAAUUAUAAAUUUCCUGAAAAAUCUAAAAACAACACUUUUCUAUACUCCCAUACAAAAGAUUUGUGAUAAUACUUAAAAGUCAAUUUGAAC
RNAcentral lists this unclassified non-coding RNA (218 nucleotides) under Melitaea cinxia (Glanville fritillary). RNAcentral's name for it is "misc RNA ENSMCXG00005014293.1". The record is from RNAcentral. Lineage: Eukaryota; Metazoa; Arthropoda; Insecta; Lepidoptera; Nymphalidae.